Molecule: long non-coding RNA, 517 nt
Organism: Trichechus manatus latirostris (Florida manatee)
Lineage: Eukaryota; Metazoa; Chordata; Mammalia; Sirenia; Trichechidae
Exons: 4
Source: RefSeq, a predicted model, not a curated record
GCUUUCGUCCUUUCACUGAGAGCAAGUCAGAGGCAACUCGUUUCCACAUUGAUCUGUCUCUUGAACUCUCCAAAGACCCAGUGCUGCUGGAGGCUCUGCCUGAGAUAGCCUUGCCUCACUGUCGACCUCAAACCCUAGCACGGAGGGACCUCUGUCAAGGACAUACCACUGGUUAAGCUUGCACUUUGAGACCUCUCUUUAAAGUUUCUUGCACCAGGUUUGAAUUCAGCAACAUCUUCCCUGGCCAGGUUUAUGAUGCGUGGAAUGAGUGCCGGGCUUCAAGUCAGGAGACCUGGGUUUAUGUACUAUCUCCACCAACUAUUAGCCGGGUGACUUUACGCAAGUUUUUCAGCCUCUCUGGGCCUCCAUUCCCUCAUUUGACAGGCUUUCCUUCUAUUCAAAGCAGGAAGGUGACAACCUGGCUCUGUAAAGGGAGGCCUGAUUGAACACCUACAGAACUGCGUGCCAGCCGCCAUGCCAGGCAUUCAAAAGCUGGACAAUGAAAAAGGAAGACAGA